Molecule: ribosomal RNA, 346 nt
Filed under: uncultured bacterium
Lineage: Bacteria
Description: bacterial SSU rRNA
Rfam family: Bacterial small subunit ribosomal RNA
Source: RNAcentral
GACGAACGCUGGCGGCGUGCUUAACACAUGCAAGUCGAACGGGAGGAAAAGAGAAGCUUGCUUCUUUUUGAAUCUAGUGGCAAACGGGUGAGUAACACGUAAACAACCUGCCUUCAGGAUGGGGACAACAGACGGAAACGACUGCUAAUACCGAAUGUGUUCCGGAGACCGCAUGAUUUCCGGAAGAAAAGGAUGGCCUCUAUUUAUAAGCUAUCGCCUGAAGAGGGGUUUGCCGUCUGAUUAGGCAGUUGGUGAGGUAACGGCCCACCAAACCUACGAUCAGUAGCCGGUCUGAGAGGAAGGUCCCCCACAUUGGAACUGAGACACGGUCCAAACUCCUACGGGA